RNAcentral lists this transfer RNA (73 nucleotides) under Bos taurus (domestic cattle). It matches the Rfam family "tRNA". Rfam says of the family: Transfer RNA (tRNA) molecules are approximately 80 nucleotides in length. Their secondary structure includes four short double-helical elements and three loops (D, anti-codon, and T loops). Further hydrogen bonds mediate the characteristic L-shaped molecular structure. tRNAs have two regions of fundamental functional importance: the anti-codon, which is responsible for specific mRNA codon recognition, and the 3' end, to which the tRNAs corresponding amino acid is attached (by aminoacyl-tRNA synthetases). tRNAs cope with the degeneracy of the genetic code in two manners: having more than one tRNA (with a specific anti-codon) for a particular amino acid; and 'wobble' base-pairing, i.e. permitting non-standard base-pairing at the 3rd anti-codon position. RNAcentral also lists the same sequence under 4 other names. Lineage: Eukaryota; Metazoa; Chordata; Mammalia; Artiodactyla; Bovidae. The record is from Rfam by way of RNAcentral.
UCCCUGGUGGUCCACUGGUUGAGACCCUGCACUUCCAAUGCAGGGGGCACAGGUUCGAUCCCUAGUUGGGGAA